AAGUCGUAACAAGGUUUCCGUAGGUGAACCUGCGGAAGGAUCAUUAGCGAAGUUCGGAAUGCAUGUUCGGUGUUGAUGCUGCCCAGCAAUGGGAUGUGCUCACUCGGAUGUGUGUCCCUUCUCUAUCCACCCCACUGUGAACCAAGUGUGUGAGCCGAAGAGAAAUCGGACGCUCGCAUGCAAACCUUUAACAUACCCCAAUUAAGUAUUAGAAUGUACCUUGCGUUAACUCGCACAAAUAUAACUUUCAACAACGGAUCUCUUGGCUCUC
Molecule: unclassified non-coding RNA, 271 nt
Filed under: Peniophora albobadia
Lineage: Eukaryota; Fungi; Basidiomycota; Agaricomycetes; Russulales; Peniophoraceae
Description: partial internal transcribed spacer region
Rfam family: Eukaryotic small subunit ribosomal RNA (bases 1-46)
Source: RNAcentral